ACAGAUCGCCAGAUCGUUGAGCUGCAUUGGCGGGAUUUCGCCGUCUUCGUUUCUCUUUCUUCGCGGACGAACACGCGCUGGGGCUGCAGGCUUGCAGAUCCCUGGUCCUUGACUGGAUAUGCGUUAGGGGCUUGUAGCUCAGUUGGUUAGAGCGCGCGCUUGAUAAGCGUGAGGUCGGAAGUUCAAGUCUUCCCAGGCCCACCACUUUCAUCGAGUGUGCAUUCGUCUUCUGGUUACGGGGCCAUAGCUCAGCUGGGAGAGCGCGUGCUUUGCAAGCAUGAGGUCGUCGGUUCGAUCCCGUCUGGCUCCACCAGAUGGUUUGAUCACCGAGAUCUUGUACCGUCGUCCGCGAAACAUCACUUCGCACUUGCUAGUCCGGAUGGACAGUAAGCUGCGUGAUUUCUGACAUCGUAAAGAGGAGAUCGAUCCGAGUUGGAUCGUGCGGAGAAUAUCUGCGCGAUACUUCAUUAUCUCCGGAUCAUUUCGGCGCUCGCGCGCCUUUCAGUGUAGCUCACAAGGCUGCGGCUGAGAGACGGGCGAGUUGUGAAUGAUCCUUUUAGCGAAGCUUGACCGCCUCGCUAUCGGAACGAUCUUACGAAGCAAGCUGGUCUUUCUAGUCAAUGUCCGGCUGCAGAUAGCGUUCAUCGAGGGCGCGUGCCGCAAGGUAAUUCUGCAGACAACAUUCUGCCGAGUGUGUGGACAUUGAUAAUGAGAGCAAUCAAGUGCCUUAAGGGUGUUCGGUGGAUGCCUUGGCGCUGAGAG
RNAcentral lists this transfer RNA (762 nucleotides) under Bradyrhizobium liaoningense. RNAcentral describes it as "partial 16S-23S ribosomal RNA intergenic spacer". The stretch from base 128 to 201 matches the Rfam family "tRNA". The record is from RNAcentral. Lineage: Bacteria; Pseudomonadati; Pseudomonadota; Alphaproteobacteria; Hyphomicrobiales; Nitrobacteraceae.